Molecule: ribosomal RNA, 466 nt
Filed under: uncultured bacterium
Lineage: Bacteria
Description: partial 16S ribosomal RNA
Rfam family: Bacterial small subunit ribosomal RNA
Source: RNAcentral
GACGAACGCUGGCGGCGUGCUUAACACAUGCAAGUCGAACGGAAAGGCCCUGCUUUUGUGGGGUGCUCGAGUGGCGAACGGGUGAGUAACACGUGAGUAACCUGCCCUUGACUUUGGGAUAACUUCAGGAAACUGGGGCUAAUACCGGAUAGGAGCUCCUGCUGCAUGGUGGGGGUUGGAAAGUUUCGGCGGUUGGGGAUGGACUCGCGGCUUAUCAGCUUGUUGGUGGGGUAGUGGCUUACCAAGGGUUUGACGGGUAGCCGGCCUGAGAGGGUGACCGGCCACAUUGGGACUGAGAUACGGCCCAGACUCCUACGGGAGGCAGCAGUGGGGAAUAUUGCACAAUGGGCGGAAGCCUGGUGCAGCAACGCCGCGUGCGGGAUGACGGCGUUCGGGUUGUAAGCCGCUUUCGCCUGUGACGAAGCGUGAGUGACGGUAAUGGGUAAAGAAGCACCGGCUAACUACG